This 305-nucleotide ribosomal RNA is filed under the name uncultured bacterium. Its description in RNAcentral is "bacterial SSU rRNA". It matches the Rfam family "Bacterial small subunit ribosomal RNA", at positions 334 to 655 of the family's 1533-position model. The record is from RNAcentral.
UGUACCUACGGGAGGCAGCAGUAGGGAAUAUUGCUCAAUGGGGGAAACCCUGAAGCAGCAACGCCGCGUGAGUGAGGAAGUAUUUCGGUAUGUAAAGCUCUAUCAGCAGGGAAUAGAAAAGAAGGUACCUGAAAAAGAAGCCCCGGCUAACUACGUGCCAGCAGCCGCGGUAAUACGUAGGUGGCAAGCGUUGUCCGGAUUUACUGGGUGUAAAGGGCGUGCAGCCGGGAAGACAAGUCAGAUGUGAAAUCCCGCGGCUCAACCGCGGAACUGCAUUUGAAACUGUUUUUCUUGAGUACCGGAGA